Molecule: small nuclear RNA, 114 nt
Organism: Ursus americanus (American black bear)
Lineage: Eukaryota; Metazoa; Chordata; Mammalia; Carnivora; Ursidae
Source: Ensembl
GUUCCUCCUCCACCUUCUAACAGGCACAUACACUAAAAGUGGAACAAUACAGAGAGGAUUAGCAUGGCCUCUGUCCAAGGAUGACACACAAUUCAUGAAGCAUUCCAUAUUUAA